This 443-nucleotide ribosomal RNA is filed under the name uncultured bacterium. Its description in RNAcentral is "partial 16S ribosomal RNA". It matches the Rfam family "Bacterial small subunit ribosomal RNA", at positions 338 to 795 of the family's 1533-position model. The record is from RNAcentral.
CCUACGGGUGGCAGCAGUGGGGAAUAUUGGGCAAUGGGCGCAAGCCUGACCCAGCAACGCCGCGUGAAGGAAGAAGGCUUUCGGGUUGUAAACUUCUUUUCUCAGGGACGAAGCAAGUGACGGUACCUGAGGAAUAAGCCACGGCUAACUACGUGCGAGCAGCCGCGGUAAUACGUAGGUGGUAAGCGUUAUCCGGAUUUACUGGGUGUAAAGGGCGUGUAGGCGGGACUGCAAGUCAGAUGUGAAAACCACGGGCUCAACCUGUGACCUGCAUUUGAUACUGUAGUUCUUGAGUACUGGAGAGGCAGAUGGAAUUCCUAGUGUAGCGGUGAAAUGCGUAGAUAUUAGGAGGAACACCAGUGGCUAAGGCGGUCUGCUGGACAGCAACUGACGCUGAGGCGCGAAAGCGUGGGGAGCAAACAGGAUUAGAUACCCGUGUAGUC